Non-coding RNA from Equus quagga, 432 nucleotides. The record is from the annotation of a RefSeq genome assembly. Lineage: Eukaryota; Metazoa; Chordata; Mammalia; Perissodactyla; Equidae.
AUGAAUAUUAAAAUUGUCUUAACCUCACUUCUGGCACUGAUCCUUCCAGGCCCUGGGAGGGCAGAUUGGAUCAGACCCCGGGAGACAGAACUGUCUGGAACAGAGGGGAAGACUGUGAACCUCCUGUGUAAUUAUGGUACUUCAUCUAGAGGCUUAGUUGAUCUCUACUGGUAUCGACAGUAUCCAAACCAGGCGCUGGAAUACAUUCUCUACAGAGGGUGGGGGUACUCUGGAAAAGGAGAUGCCAGUUUUGCCACAGAAAGGUUUUAUUCAAAGACUACAGCAAAUUCAACAGAUUUGUACAUCGGAAAUCUGGAGCCUGCAGAUACUGCCGUGUAUUAUUGUGCGCUGAGAGGCACAAAGAGACCAUCACAUAGGGCAGCUGUACAAGAAUACCAGUGCACUGGAGGAAGGAGAAUGUGGCACACAUAA